Crotalus tigris (Tiger rattlesnake) is the source of this 1329-nucleotide long non-coding RNA. RefSeq lists it as uncharacterized. The transcript has 2 exons. The record is from RefSeq and is a predicted model, not a curated record. NCBI's taxonomy places the organism in Eukaryota, Metazoa, Chordata, Lepidosauria, Squamata, Viperidae.
CGGCGCUGAUGCCGUAGCCCGGGUUGCUUCCUUUGAGAAAGGAAGAAAGCGAUGCGGCAUCUUAGCAGAUCGGCAUUCCCGUUCUGCUUCUUGAGGAAGUUAGGAGUUAGGAUUUGGCAUUUUCCUGUCGUAUUCUGCGUCUGAGACUCGUUUCGGACAUUAUUCACCUUGUGGGCGACAGUUAGUCGGAUGGCUGGAUCGAUAACCCUCGGCACCGUUUUAUGGGACUUUUUGAGUGGGAAAGCGGAUUGGCGCAUUGGAGCUUUCUUCCUGCCAAAACCUGUCACUUCGGGCAGCAAUUGCUUUCAGGGGACUGCCUUACAUUCUAAAAGUUAAAAAAAGCUGUGAUCGUGUUUUUCUUCUCCAAUACAUUCUUACAACUACCGGACCCUGCACCUGCGGGAGAAACGCUAGGAUGACGACGACCACGACGGCAUUCUUAAAACUAGAAAGGUGGCUGAGGACUGACUGGAACUGGAUUUAACAUCAGAAGAGCCACAGUUCCCUGUACCUACCUUGAAUCAGGCACUGAACGUAAUUGCUUCGGGAAUAAACGAAAAAGACUGUACAAGAUUGUAUCUGUCUCUCCAAAAUACCAAGAAAGAUUUAAGUUCUCCCCUUUCUUCUAGCAAUGGUUAAUUAUUUCUGCACUUCACAGGCAAUUUCGGUAUCUGAAGCCUAAUUUCUAGGCAUCAGAUUUAUGAAGAAAGGCAGAUUUAAUUAUUUUUGUAGCAAAUCUUGUUUCUAUUAUCAGGGUAGUUGGGAUUCAGAAGUUAACUCAUCUGUAGCAAAAAAAAAAAAAAAACCAAAAACAAACCCACACCUGAGAGCUGAUUUCCUUCAAAACAAUUUACUUUUUAAAUAAAUGUCUGACAUUGAUAAUAAAUGAAAUUGAAAUUGCAGCAAAUAAAAAAAGAAAAAUGGAAAAGGAGUUCCACCUGAUUUGGAUUUAGUUUUGGUGUAAUCCCAGAUCCAACCUUGAAUCUAAGCAGCACUUUUCCAGAUUUAGCCAAUGUAAUACCUGCAUAAAAUCUUUUAGCAAAAUGACUUUAGUUACAUUCCAUUUUGAUAAAAUAAUUAUAUAGUGCUGACUCAGAAGCUGUGUUUUGACGAUUGCAAUAGAAAAGCUUUUAUUGGAUCAUGUAACUCCUUUGUUAGAAAAUGUUUUCUUAGCUUCCCUUCCAGGCAAAAUCUAAAACAUUGGUUAUGACUUCUAAAGCCCUAUUAACGCCCAGAUUUUUAAAGUAUAGUUUUUCUACAUAUCAACUAUAUGAGCUUCAAUUUUUCAGUAGAAAUCUUUGGUAGAAUUAAAGCACUUUUGUUAAAAAA